AGAGAUUGUUUUUAAAAUCCCAAAAAGAAGAACUGGUUUUCUUCUCCAUCGGUAUUCUUUGUGUGAUCUGUUCUUCAGUUUCUUCUUUUUUUCAAAAAAUUUAGCCUUUAAGAUAUAAUUUUGAAGAGGUUAAAAAACAUCACAUAAACUAUUGCUUUGAUCCGUUUUCUUUUUAAUUUUCACAUGAUUUUUUUUAUUUUAUCAAGAAACAUG
RNAcentral lists this long non-coding RNA (213 nucleotides) under Capsicum annuum. RNAcentral's name for it is "long non-coding RNA (CANN_LNC015455)". The record is from RNAcentral. Lineage: Eukaryota; Viridiplantae; Streptophyta; Magnoliopsida; Solanales; Solanaceae.